GCCUUAGAAAGCACCCUCAGGUCAAGGUGGGAGGACUCUUUGUUUAAAAUACUUACACGUAUAGCAAAAAAGUUCAUGGCAACAAGCUAAGCACCAAGUUAUUUUUUAAGGCACACAAAUUAAGUGUUCAAUCUGUGGCGGAUUUGUACUUCCUUUCUGAAUUGUAUUGUUCUCAGAGAAAAACGUUUGAAAGCACCGAAAGCACCAUCAGAACUGAAACAAG
Non-coding RNA from Loxodonta africana (African savanna elephant), 223 nucleotides. Lineage: Eukaryota; Metazoa; Chordata; Mammalia; Proboscidea; Elephantidae. The record is from Rfam.